This 523-nucleotide ribosomal RNA is filed under the name Gadus morhua (Atlantic cod). Its description in RNAcentral is "partial 16S ribosomal RNA". It matches the Rfam family "Bacterial large subunit ribosomal RNA", at positions 1942 to 2621 of the family's 2925-position model. The record is from RNAcentral. Lineage: Eukaryota; Metazoa; Chordata; Actinopteri; Gadiformes; Gadidae.
CUGACCGUGCAAAGGUAGCGUAAUCACUUGUCUUUUAAAUGAAGACCUGUAUGAAUGGCAUCACGAGGGCUUAGCUGUCUCCCAUCUCCAGUCAAUGAAAUUGACCUCCCCGUGCAGAGGCGGGGAUGAUUACAUAAGACGAGAAGACCCUAUGGAGCUUUAGACCUAAAGUAAGUCACGUUUAACAUGCUGUGAUAACAGUAAAAACUUAGUGAUAUUUACUGAAGUGUCUUUGGUUGGGGCGACCGCGGGGUAAAACACAACCCCCAUGUGGACCGGGGAUAUUAUCCCUAAUACUCAGAGCCUCUACUCCAAGUAACAGAAAUUCUGACUUUUCUGAUCCGGUAUAACCGAUCAACGAACCGAGUUACCCUAGGGAUAACAGCGCAAUCCCCUCUCAGAGCCCAUAUCGACGAGGGGGUUUACGACCUCGAUGUUGGAUCAGGACAUCCUAAUGGUGCAGCCGCUAUUAAGGGUUCGUUGUCAACGAUAAAGCCCUACGUGAUCUGAGUUCAGACCGGAG